RNAcentral lists this ribosomal RNA (321 nucleotides) under Triticum aestivum (bread wheat). RNAcentral's name for it is "partial small subunit ribosomal RNA". Lineage: Eukaryota; Viridiplantae; Streptophyta; Magnoliopsida; Poales; Poaceae. The record is from RNAcentral.
AUGUCAACGAUGAUACUGGUGUCUUCUGCUGGUCGUGUGAAACAUACGGGCGAUAUUUGUCAAAAAGAUGUUUUUGCUGCUGCUAGUCUUCGAUCUCGGUGCAGAACUGCAGACCACUGUUGCCAUGAUCCAUCUCUAAUGGGUCAUGAGCCUCCCCGUUCACCACGGCACGGCAUGGAUGGUGGAUGCAUGCACCAGCACCACCAACGAAGACAACCAGCCCACCGAGCACGACGACGCGGCGGCCGGCCAUGGACAGUGCAUGCACCGAUGCACGCGAAGGCCCAUGCCAUUGCCACGCUACUGCGACCACACACGUAG